Molecule: non-coding RNA, 73 nt
Organism: Rattus norvegicus (Norway rat)
Lineage: Eukaryota; Metazoa; Chordata; Mammalia; Rodentia; Muridae
Source: Rfam
GGAGAGGUGGCUCAGUGGUUAAGAGAACUGAUUGCUCUUCCAGAGGUCCUGAGUUCAAAUCUCAGCAUCCACA